CCUACGGGAGUCAGCAGUGAGGAAUAUUGGUCAAUGGCCGGGAGGCUGAACCAGCCAAGUCGCGUGAGGGAAGACGGCCCUACGGGUUGUAAACCUCUUUUGUCAGGGAGCAAGGUGCAGGUCGGGACCUGCGGUGAGAGUACCUGAAGAAAAAGCAUCGGCUAACUCCGUGCCAGCAGCCGCGGUAAUACGGAGGAUGCGAGCGUUAUCCGGAUUUAUUGGGUUAAAAGGGUGCGUAGGCGGAAUAUCAAGUCAGCGGUAAAAAUUCGGGGCUCAACCCCGUCGGGCCGUUGAAACUGAUGUUCUUGAGUGGGAGAGAAGUAUGCGGAAUGCGUGGUGUAGCGGUGAAAUGCAUAGAUAUAACGAAGAACUCCGAUUGCGAAGGCAGCAUACCGGCGCCCAACUGACGCUGAGGCACGAAAGCGUGGGUAUCGAACAGGAUUAGAUACCCUUGUAGUC
RNAcentral lists this ribosomal RNA (459 nucleotides) under uncultured bacterium. RNAcentral describes it as "partial 16S ribosomal RNA". It matches the Rfam family "Bacterial small subunit ribosomal RNA", at positions 338 to 795 of the family's 1533-position model. The record is from RNAcentral.